GACGAACGCUGGCGGCGUGCUUAACACAUGCAAGUCGAACGGAAAGGCCUGCUUUCCCUUGUGGAUUGCGGGUACUCGAGUGGCGAACGGGUGAGUAACACGUGAGUGAUCUGCCCCCAACUUGGGUAUAAGCCUGGGAAACUGGGUCUAAUUCCCGAUAGGACUGCAGGGUGGUGCCUGUGGUGGAAAACGUUUUUCUAGUGGUUGGGGAUGCGCUCGCGGCCUAUCAGCUUGUUGGUGGGGUAAUGGACUACCAAGGCGGCGACGGGUCGCCAGCCGGGGAGCGGGGACGGCGACACUGGGACUGAGACCCGGCCCAGACUCCUACGAGAGGCAGCAGUGGGGAAGAAAGCAGAAUGGGCGGAAGCCUGAUGCAGCGACGCAGCGUGGGAGAUGACGGCCUUCGGGUUGUAAGCUCCUUUCGACCGCGAGGAAGCCACCUAGUUGGAAGGGUGGUGACGGUAGUGGUAGAAGAAGCACCGGCUAACUACGUG
Molecule: ribosomal RNA, 494 nt
Filed under: uncultured bacterium
Lineage: Bacteria
Description: partial 16S ribosomal RNA
Rfam family: Bacterial small subunit ribosomal RNA
Source: RNAcentral